UACAGAGGGGGCAAGCGUUGUUCGGAAUUACUGGGCGUAAAGGGCGCGUAGGCGGCCUGCUAAGUCGAACGUGAAAUCCCCGGGCUCAACCCGGGAACUGCGUCCGAUACUGGCAGGCUUGAAUCCGGGAGAGGGAUGCGGAAUUCCUGGUGUAGCGGUGAAAUGCGCAGAUAUCAGGAGGAACACCGAUGGCGAAGGCAGGUCUCUGGGCCAUAACUGACGCUGAGAAGCGAAAGCAUGGGGAGCGAACAGG
This 253-nucleotide ribosomal RNA is filed under the name uncultured bacterium. RNAcentral's name for it is "partial 16S ribosomal RNA". It matches the Rfam family "Bacterial small subunit ribosomal RNA", at positions 524 to 776 of the family's 1533-position model. The record is from RNAcentral.